AUGGCCUUAUUACAACUCAAAACCAAACAAUAAUAUUAAUAAGAUAAAACUUAUAAAGAAAUAAAUUGGCUACUUAUUGCAAUUAAAAGAAACAGAAACAGUAGUGUGGCCAUCUCCGAGUCCCUCGCAGCUCCAAACCAUCAAAGCUUAGGGAUUACCUACACAGUUAGAAACGGGGUGAGUUUAUGAAAACUCAGUGUGUAAUCCUAAUAACAAACAAACAGUGAAAACACAGUAUCAGUACAAUCUGGGCCAAAGCCCUAUUUAGUCUUGACACCGAAGCCUUUCAUUUAACGGUUAUUGGCUGAAGCCUUUUCAUAAAUCAUAUCACUGGGCCGAAGCCUUUACUAUAAACGGUAUGGCCCUUAGGCCCAUUUCAAUAUCACAUGAAAUGUCAAUGGAUGUAUGCAAGCCCAUUUCAAUAUCACAUGAAAUACCAAUGAAUGUAUGCAAGCCCAUUUGGGGAGACUACUCGACCCACCAUCCGCUACUCUCCACCCGUACCAACCAACACACCAUGUGGGGAAUAACUCAACCCACCCAACCAACACACCACUGGCAGCAUAGUUGCUUUAUCAUAUAUUUGGAGGCCUAGCCUCUUUAAUAACUGGGGCAAAGCCCUUUUCGGUAAACUGGGGCAAAGCCCUUUUCGGUAAACUGGGGCAUAAGCCCUUUUCAAUAAACUGGGGCAUAAGCCCUUUUGCACUUCCUCCAUGUAAAUCCUAAGCACAUCAGUCAUACGGAACAUAAGGGCAUAUUCGUCAUUUUACUAUACAAGGGUAUUACGGUCACUUUACCCUACAGGGGCUUUACGGUCUUUUUACCUAUUAGGGGUAUUUUAGUUAUUUCAUCCUACAAUGGUGUUUUGGUAAAUCUACAAACCAAGGGUAUUUCAGUAAUUUUGUAAACCAAUGGUAUUUCUAUAAUUUUUAGAAAGUCAAGGGUAUUUCUGUAAUUUUGUAAAUCUGGGGUAUUUUGGUAAUUUUACAAAUUGAGGGUAUUUCGAUAAUUUCACAAACUAGUGGUAUUUUGGUAAUUUUACAAACUAGGGGUAUUUUGGUAAUUUUACAAACUAGGGGUAUUUUGGUAAUUCUAUCCUACAGGGGUAUUUCAGUAAUUUCACAAUCGAGGGUAAAAUGGUAAUUUUUUAAACUGAUGGUAAAACGAUAAUUCUGUAAAUCGAGGGUAAAAUGAUAAUUCUAUAAAUCGAGGGUAAAACUGUAAUUUUGUAAAUCGAGGGUGAAACAAUAAUUCUAUAAAUCGAGGGUAAAAUGGUAAUUCUAUAAAUCGAGGGUAAACUGUAAUUUUGUAAAUUGAGGGUGAAACGGUAAUUCUAUAAAUCGAGGGUAAAAUGGUAAUUCUACAAAUCGAGGGCAUUUCAGUAAUUUGGUAAACUAAAGUAUUCUAAACAAGGAUAACAAUACGAAUGGGCCUAAAGCCUAUUCUCGGCCCAAAUGAGCCCACACACUCGUGUGGCCCUUUUAGCCCAAAUCUAGCCACAGAUAUGAGAUUCACCUAGCCUAGUCUAAUAUUUACUACACAAUCAAACAACUUAUCCAAUUAGGCCCGUAGGCCCAUUGGGCCCACAUGACCCCUUUCGGCCCAUCGCGGCCCGAAGUAGCCAUCCUACAACUAGAGUAGCGAGAAAUACACACCUGAUUGGCAACUGGAGUUAAUCCAAGCUCCGAGCACUCUUAGCCGACGCCCAACCCAAACGAGCACGCCAUACAGCGAA
This 1735-nucleotide long non-coding RNA is filed under the name Gossypium barbadense (sea-island cotton). Its description in RNAcentral is "long non-coding RNA (GBAR_LNC000694)". Lineage: Eukaryota; Viridiplantae; Streptophyta; Magnoliopsida; Malvales; Malvaceae. The record is from RNAcentral.